UGCAGCGAUGCCGCGUGAGUGAAGAAGGCCUUUGGGUUGUAAAGCUCUUUCGUCGGGGAAGAAAAUGACUGUACCCGAAUAAGAAGGUCCGGCUAACUUCGUGCCAGCAGCCGCGGUAAUACGAAGGGACCUAGCGUAGUUCGGAAUUACUGGGCUUAAAGAGUUCGUAGGUGGUUAAAAAAGUUGGUGGUGAAAUCCCAGAGCUUAACUCUGGAACUGCCAUCAAAACUUUUUAACUAGAGUAUGAUAGAGGAAAGUAGAAUUUCUAGUGUAGAGGUGAAAUUCGUAGAUAUUAGAAAGAAUACCAAUUGCGAAGGCAGCUUUCUGGAUCAUUACUGACACUGAGGAACGAAAGCAUGGGUAGCGAAGAGGAUUAGAUACCCUCGUAGUCCAUGCCGUAAACGAUGUGUGCUAGACGUUGGAAAUUUAUU
This 431-nucleotide ribosomal RNA is filed under the name uncultured Pelagibacterales bacterium. RNAcentral describes it as "bacterial SSU rRNA". It matches the Rfam family "Bacterial small subunit ribosomal RNA", at positions 387 to 835 of the family's 1533-position model. Lineage: Bacteria; Pseudomonadati; Pseudomonadota; Alphaproteobacteria; Candidatus Pelagibacterales. The record is from RNAcentral.